This 253-nucleotide ribosomal RNA is filed under the name uncultured bacterium. RNAcentral describes it as "partial 16S ribosomal RNA". It matches the Rfam family "Bacterial small subunit ribosomal RNA", at positions 524 to 776 of the family's 1533-position model. The record is from RNAcentral.
UACGUAGGUGGCAAGCGUUGUCCGGAAUUAUUGGGCGUAAAGCGCGCGCAGGCGGUCCUUUAAGUCUGAUGUGAAAGCCCGGGGCUCACCCCCGGAAGUGCAUUGGAAACUGGUGGACUCGAGUCCCGGAGAGGAGAGUGGAAUUCCUGGUGUAGCGGUGAAAUGCGCAGAUAUCGGGAAGAACACCCGUGGCGAAGGCGGUUCUCUGGGACGGUACUGACGCUGAGACGCGAAAGCGUGGGGAGCGAACAGG